GAUGAACGCUGGUGGCGUGCCUAAUACAUGCAAGUCGAGCGAAGCGGGGACGGGUGAGUAACACGUGGAUAACCUCCUAUAAGACUGGGAUAACUUCGGGAAACCGGAGCUAAACCGGAUACUUAUAGAUGGAUCCGCGCUGCAUUAGCUAGUUUGUAAGGUAACGGCUUACCAAGGCAACGAUGCAUAGCCGACCUGAGAGGGUAGACACCCCCACUGUAACGGAGACACGGUCCAUACUCGUCCUAGAAUCAGAAUUACAUAAUCUUCCGCAAUUGGCGAAAGCCUGACAGGGCAAAGCCGCGUGUGUGAUGAAAUUCUUCGGAUCCUAAAACUCUGUUAUUAAGGAAGCGAUACCUAAUCAGAAAGCCACGGCUAACUACGUGCCAGCCGCCGCGGUAAUUC
This 405-nucleotide ribosomal RNA is filed under the name uncultured bacterium. Its description in RNAcentral is "partial 16S ribosomal RNA". It matches the Rfam family "Bacterial small subunit ribosomal RNA", at positions 28 to 526 of the family's 1533-position model. The record is from RNAcentral.